This 69-nucleotide transfer RNA is filed under the name Picea smithiana. Its description in RNAcentral is "tRNA-Pro". The record is from RNAcentral. Lineage: Eukaryota; Viridiplantae; Streptophyta; Pinopsida; Pinales; Pinaceae.
CAAAGUGUAGCGCAGUCCGGUUAGCGCAUCCGUUUUGGGUACAGAGGGCCUCGAAUCCUGUCACCUUGA